GGGCCCUCUCAUAUUCCCCCGUGUCCCGGGGAUGCUCGUAGGUCACAGCCCAAUAGAUGACGUAGGUCACAAGACAACGUAGUUCAUGGUCUUGUUGAUGAGGAUAGUGGGGAGGAAUCGGAUCAUGUCUCUAACACCCAACAAAGUAGUUUAUGGUUGUUUAACUUUACGAUGUUUAAGUGUUUGAAUGUAGUUUUAAGGAUAUUUAGAAGUACUUUAAAUUGAAACUUGAGGUUGAAUUUGAUUUUAGAAUGUGAAGUUUAUGAUUGUAGAAGUACUUUGAUGAAUUGGACGUGUUGAUGAAUUGCAUUGUUGAUUUGGUUGA
Molecule: long non-coding RNA, 325 nt
Organism: Lycium ferocissimum
Lineage: Eukaryota; Viridiplantae; Streptophyta; Magnoliopsida; Solanales; Solanaceae
Exons: 2
Source: RefSeq, a predicted model, not a curated record